Molecule: ribosomal RNA, 399 nt
Filed under: Triticum aestivum (bread wheat)
Lineage: Eukaryota; Viridiplantae; Streptophyta; Magnoliopsida; Poales; Poaceae
Description: partial small subunit ribosomal RNA
Source: RNAcentral
AUGGAGUCCGUGCGACUUCUCCUUGCGCUGGCUGCCCAGGAGGGCUGGCGUGUCCACCACAUGGACGUUAAGUCGGCAUUCCUCAACGGCGACCUGAAGGAGGAAGUCUACGUGCAUCAGCCACCUGGGUUUACGAUUCCCGGCCAGGAGGGCAAGGUGCUCCGCCUGCGCAAGGCUCUCUAUGGCCUGCGGCAGGCACCCAGGGCGUGGAACGCCAAGCUGGACUCCACGCUGAAGAAGAUGGGUUUCGAGCAGAGCCCGCAUGAGGCUGCCGUCUACCGACGGGGGAGUGGAGGAAAUGCCCUGCUGGUGGGCGUCUACGUUGACGACCUGGUGAUCACCGGCACCAAAGGUGCAGAGGUGACGGCGUUCAAGGAAGACAUGAAGGCCACGUUCUAG